UACGUAGGGUGCAAGCGUUGUCCGGAAUUAUUGGGCGUAAAGAGCUCGUAGGCGGUUUGUCGCGUCUGCUGUGAAAACUCGGGGCUUAACCCCGAACUUGCAGUGGGUACGGGCAGACUAGAGUGUGGUAGGGGAGACUGGAAUUCCUGGUGUAGCGGUGAAAUGCGCAGAUAUCAGGAGGAACACCGAUGGCGAAGGCAGGUCUCUGGGCCACUACUGACGCUGAGAAGCGAAAGCAUGGGGAGCGAACAGG
Molecule: ribosomal RNA, 253 nt
Filed under: uncultured bacterium
Lineage: Bacteria
Description: partial 16S ribosomal RNA
Rfam family: Bacterial small subunit ribosomal RNA
Source: RNAcentral